UUGGAGGGCAAGUCUGGUGCCAGCAGCCGCGGUAAUUCCAGCUCCAAUAGCGUAUAUUAAAGUUGUUGCAGUUAAAAAGCUCGUAGUUGAAUUUCGGGAUCGACGGGUCGGUCGCGCCUCUGGUGUGUACUGGCCCUGUCGGUUUCUCCCUUCUGACGAACCACGAUGUCAUUAAUUUGGUGUCGUGGGAAAUCAGGACUGUUACUUUGAAAAAAUUAGAGUGUUUAAAGCAGGCAUUCGCUUGAAUACAUUGGCAUGGAAUAAUGAAAUAGGACGUUUGAUCUUAUUUUGUUGGUUUCUAAGAUCGACGUAAUGAUUAAUAGGGAUAGUUGGGGGCAUUAGUAUUCAAUUGUCAGAGGUGAAAUUCUUGGAUUUAUUGAAGACUAACUACUGCGAAAGCAUUUGCCAAGGAUGUUUUCAUUAAUCAAGAACGAAAGUUAGGGGAUCGAAGACGAUCAGAUACCGUCGUAGUCUUAACCAUAAACUAUGCCGACUAGGGAUCGGAUGAUGUUAAUUUUUUAAUGACUCAUUCGGCGCCUUACGGGAAAC
RNAcentral lists this ribosomal RNA (549 nucleotides) under uncultured Glomus. RNAcentral describes it as "SSU rRNA". It matches the Rfam family "Eukaryotic small subunit ribosomal RNA", at positions 548 to 1098 of the family's 1831-position model. The record is from RNAcentral. Lineage: Eukaryota; Fungi; Glomeromycota; Glomeromycetes; Glomerales; Glomeraceae.